AACGAACGCUGGCGGCGUGGAUUAGGCAUGCAAGUCGAACGUGAUCCGGAGCUAUAGCAAUAUAAUUCCGGUGAAAGUGGCGAAAGGGUGAGUAACACGUGGGCAAUCUGCCCUCAAGUUGGGGAUAGCUCUGCGAAAGCGGAAUUAAUACCGAAUGGGGUCGUGUCGCGCAUGCGGCACUGUCCAAAGCUGGGGAUUCGAAAGGACCUGGCGCUUGAGGAUGAGCCCACGUACUAUCAGCUUGUUGGUGAGGUAACGGCUCACCAAGGCGAUGACGGUUAGCUGGUCUGAGAGGAUGGUCAGCCACACUGGGACUGAGACACUGCCCAGACACCUACGGGAGCAG
RNAcentral lists this ribosomal RNA (346 nucleotides) under uncultured Lentisphaerota bacterium. Its description in RNAcentral is "bacterial SSU rRNA". It matches the Rfam family "Bacterial small subunit ribosomal RNA", at positions 29 to 351 of the family's 1533-position model. The record is from RNAcentral. Lineage: Bacteria; Pseudomonadati; Lentisphaerota.